This 68-nucleotide transfer RNA is filed under the name Leiolepis reevesii (Reeves' butterfly lizard). Its description in RNAcentral is "tRNA-Ala". It matches the Rfam family "tRNA". Rfam says of the family: Transfer RNA (tRNA) molecules are approximately 80 nucleotides in length. Their secondary structure includes four short double-helical elements and three loops (D, anti-codon, and T loops). The record is from RNAcentral. Lineage: Eukaryota; Metazoa; Chordata; Lepidosauria; Squamata; Agamidae.
AAAUCUUAGCUUAAUUAAAGUAUCCGGGUUGCAUUUGGAUGAUAUAGAUUAAAGUUCUAUAGGUUUUA